ACUCCUACGGGAGGCAGCAGUGGGGAAUAUUGCACAAUGGGCGCAAGCCUGAUGCAGCCAUGCCGCGUGUAUGAAGAAGGCCUUCGGGUUGUAAAGUACUUUCAGCAGUGAGGAAGGUGGGUAUGUUAAUAGCAUACUCAUUUGACGUUAGACUGCAGAAGAAGCACCGGCUAACUCCGUGCCAGCAGCCGCGGUAAUACGGAGGGUGCGAGCGUUAAUCGGAAUUACUGGGCUAAAGCGCAUGCAGGUGGUUGUUAAGUCAGAUGUGAAAGCCCGGGGCUCAACCUCGGAAUUGCAUUUGAAACUGGCAAACUAGAGUACUGUAGAGGGGGGUAGAAUUUCAGGUGUAGCGGUGAAAUGCGUAGAGAUCUGAAGGAAUACCGGUGGCGAAGGCGGCCCCCUGGACAGAUACUGACACUCAGAUGCGAAAGCUGGGGAGCAAACAGGAUUAGAUACCCUGGUAGG
This 465-nucleotide ribosomal RNA is filed under the name uncultured bacterium. RNAcentral's name for it is "bacterial SSU rRNA". It matches the Rfam family "Bacterial small subunit ribosomal RNA", at positions 335 to 794 of the family's 1533-position model. The record is from RNAcentral.